GAUGAACGCUGGCGGCGUGCCUAAUACAUGCGAGUCGAGCGAACAGACGAGGAGCUUGCUCCUCUGACGUUAGCGGCGGACGGGUGAGUAACACGUGGAUAACCUACCUAUAAGACUGGGAUAACUUCGGGAAACCGGAGCUAAUACCGGAUAAUAUAUUGAACCGCAUGGUUCAAUAGUGAAAGACGGUUUUGCUGUCACUUAUAGAUGGAUCCGCGCCGCAUUAGCUAGUUGGUAAGGUAACGGCUUACCAAGGCAACGAUGCGUAGCCGACCUGAGAGGGUGAUCGGCCACACUGGAACUGAGACACGGUCCAGACUCCUACGGGAGGCAGCAGUAGGGAAUCUUCCGCAAUGGGCGAAAGCCUGACGGAGCAACGCCGCGUGAGUGAUGAAGGUCUUCGGAUCGUAAAACUCUGUUAUUAGGGAAGAACAAAUGUGUAAGUAACUAUGCACGUCUUGACGGUACCUAAUCAGAAAGCCACGGCGAACUACGU
This 496-nucleotide ribosomal RNA is filed under the name uncultured bacterium. Its description in RNAcentral is "partial 16S ribosomal RNA". It matches the Rfam family "Bacterial small subunit ribosomal RNA", at positions 28 to 506 of the family's 1533-position model. The record is from RNAcentral.